CCGACGUGUCCUUCCUGUGCUCCGCACCGUCUUCUGAGGAUUCUUAGAGGAAAAGUUCAGCCACAACCCCCGGACAUUCCUGGAGCUGGAGCCGCCUGGGCAGAGGAGAGAGAAGACAAGAAACACUGACCUGACUCUGCAGAGAAGAUGGAGCUGGAAGAAGUCCUGGCAUCUGGACCAGAUAAAGAAGAAAAGACAACAGAGAAGACGUCACUCAGUGGCCCACUGUAUAGGAGAGCUCGUACAUACGAACCUUAAAUAGACAAGACCCGGACAUUUAGGGUGAGUUCACGUUUGAGUAUUUUCUUUCAAACUUGAAAGUUUGAAAUGGGCGGGCUCUCCACGGAAAAUCCACCGCAGACCCCAUUACAUUCACUAGGGUCUGCGGUGGAUUUUUAACAGCGGAGAUUCUGCUGUCAAAAAUCUGCUGGGUGCGUUCUUACGAGCGUAUUUCCUUUCAAACUCGCAGCAUGUUUUCAAUGGGGUCUGCGGCGGAUUUUCUGCAGCGGAAAUUCAGCUGCCAAAAAUUUGCCACUGACAGCUGGUGGAGAGCCCGCCCCCUUUCAAACUUUCAAGUAUGAAAGAAAGUACGCUGGUGUGAAAGAGGAUGUCCAGAAAUAAAGGCAGUGCCACCUCUGUUCUCAGGUUGUUCAUCUUAUUACAACUUGUCUCCAUUCACUUCAAUGGAACUGAGCUGCAAUACCACACACAAGCUGAGGACAGGUGUGGUGCUGUUUUUUGGAAGAAAUCAGCUUAGUUUUUCUAACCUUUGAUAUAUUGGUAUAUGUCAGCGUGGUUAUAGGAUGCAACUGGGUAAAGUAUAGCUGACUCAGGUUUACUUAUUGUAACAUGUUCAUGUAAUGAUCUGUGAAGGGACAGCGCCCGGUCACUUACCUGGUAAUUGUAGAAAACUAGGCUAAGAGAAUGGAGUCAUGUAAUGCGAGGUGGUGAGUUCAUACAGCGAGUCCUAUUAUGGUGUGAUGUAAUACCUCUGUCUGUCUCAGGAACUGUCCAGAGCAGGAGAAGUUUGCUAUGGGGAUUUGCUCCUGCUCUUGACAGUUCCUGACAUGGACAGAGGUGUCAGCAGAGAGCAGUGUGGUCAGACAGAUAGGAAAUUCAAAAUGAAAAGAACUUCCUCUGGAGCAUACAGCAGCUAAUAUGUACUAUAGGAAGGACUAAGAUUUUUAAAUAGAAGUAUUUUACAUACCUGCUUAACGUUCUGGCACCAGUUGACUUAAAAAAUAGUUUUUCACUUGAGUACCCCUUUAAAAUGCAUAUGAUUGACUGAAGAAAUGAGGGGGGGGGCUUGUAGGGGAAAAUCUAUUAAAAUGCAUAUGGCAGGGGGAUCGGGGGGGGGGGGGUUCAUUAAAAUGGCACAGGGGGAUCAGUUGAAAUGACACAGGGGGAUCAACUAAAAUAGCAUUGGAGGAUUGAGGGGACUGAAAUGGCCCAACGUCCCAAUGUCAUUUCAAUCCCCCCUCUGAUCCACGCUGUGCCAUUUCAAUCCCCCUCCUCUUAACCCCCCCCCCCCCUGAUUUUCCCAUGUAAUUUCAAUUGUCCCCUUUAACCCCCUUUGCAAUUUUAAUCCCCUUCUGAUCCCCCUGUACCAUUUCAAUUCCCCCAUCUGAUCCCCCUGUACCAUUUAAAUCCCCCCUACUCUGAUCCCCCCCCAUUUGA
Long non-coding RNA from Hyla sarda, 1677 nucleotides. RefSeq lists it as uncharacterized. Lineage: Eukaryota; Metazoa; Chordata; Amphibia; Anura; Hylidae. The record is from RefSeq and is a predicted model, not a curated record. The transcript is spliced from 3 exons.